This 492-nucleotide ribosomal RNA is filed under the name uncultured bacterium. RNAcentral describes it as "partial 16S ribosomal RNA". It matches the Rfam family "Bacterial small subunit ribosomal RNA", at positions 30 to 507 of the family's 1533-position model. The record is from RNAcentral.
AUUGAACGCUGGCGGUAUGCCUAACACAUGCAAGUCGAACGGCAGCACAGUAAUCGCUUUCUCUUCCGGGUGGCGAGUGGCGGGCGGGUGAGGAAUACGUCGCAAUCUACGUUUUCUUGGGCGGUGACGGAGGGAAACUUACGCUAAUACCGCAUACGACCUACGGGUGAAAGCAGGAGAUCUUCGGACCUUGCGCGAUUCAAUGAGCCGAUGUCGGAUUAGCUAGUUGGCGGGGUAAAGGCCCACCAAGGCGACGAUCCGUAGCUGGUCUGAGAGGAUGACCAGCCACACUGGAACUGAGACACGGUCCAGACUCCUACGGGAGGCAGCAGUGGGGAAUAUUGGACAAUGGGGGCAAGCCUGAUCCAGCCAUGCCGCGUGGGUGAAGAAGGCCUUCGGGUUGUAAAGCGCUUUUGUUGGGAAAGAAAAGCAGUAGGCUAAUACCCCGCGGUUAUGACGGUACCGAAAGAAUAAGCACCGGCUAACUUCGUG